This 497-nucleotide ribosomal RNA is filed under the name uncultured bacterium. RNAcentral describes it as "partial 16S ribosomal RNA". It matches the Rfam family "Bacterial small subunit ribosomal RNA", at positions 28 to 507 of the family's 1533-position model. The record is from RNAcentral.
GAUGAACGCUGGCGGCGUGCCUAAUACAUGCAAGUCGAGCGAACGGACGAGAAGCUUGCUUCUCUGAUGUUAGCGGCGGACGGAUGAGUAACACGUGGAUAACCUACCUAUAAGACUGGGAUAACUUCGGGAAACCGGAUCUAAUACCGGAUGAUAUUUUGAACCGCAUGGUUCAAAAGUGAAAGACGGUCUUGCUGUCACUUAUAGAUGGAUCCGCGCUGCAUUAGCUAGUUGGUAAGGUAACGGCUUACCAAGGCAACGAUGCAUAGCCGACCUGAGAGGGUGAUCGGCCACACUGGAACUGAGACACGGUCCAGACUCCUACGGGAGGCAGCAGUAGGGAAUCUUCCGCAAUGGGCGAAAGCCUGACGGAGCAACGCCGCGUGAGUGAUGAAGGUCUUCGGAUCGUAAAACUCUGUUAUUAGGGAAGAACAUAUGUGUAAGUAACUGUGCACAUCUUGACGGUACCUAAUCAGGAAGCCACGGCUAACUACGUG